Molecule: ribosomal RNA, 400 nt
Filed under: phytoplankton environmental sample
Lineage: Eukaryota
Description: partial small subunit ribosomal RNA
Rfam family: Eukaryotic small subunit ribosomal RNA
Source: RNAcentral
AGCUCCAAUAGCGUAUAUUAAAGUUGUUGCAGUUAAAAAGCUCGUAGUUGGAUUUCUGUGAGAGUGCCUGCCUCGGCUUUGAUGCUUGGUGGCAGCGCUCUUACAUCCUUCUGUUAACUGUUCUUGGCGUUCAUUUGCUGGUUCAGGGCUCAGAUAUUUUACCUUGAGAAAAUUAGAGUGUUUCAGGCAGGCUUAUGCCGGAAUACAUUAGCAUGGAAUAAUGGAAUAGGACCUGUGCGUCUCUCGGGGCGCCGGUCUCUGUUGUUGGUUUCGGGGACUAAAGUAAUGAUUAAUAGGGAUAGUUGGGGGCAUUAGUAUUUAAUAGUCAGAGGUGAAAUUCUCGGAUUUGUUAAAGACUAACUUAUGCGAAAGCAUUUGCCAAGGAUGUUUUCAUUAAUCA